CGCAUCUGUGCAUGCAGCAUAUCAAUAAGCGGAGGAAAAGAAACUAACAAGGAUUCCCCUAGUAACGGCGAGUGAAGCGGGAAGAGCUCAAAUUUGAAAUCUUAAAGGGUUUCCCUUUACGAAUUGUAGUUUAAAGAAGUGUUUUCUGUUGAGGUUUUGGUAAAAGUUCUUUGGAAUAGGACAUCAUAGAGGGUGAGAAUCCCGUAUUUGACCUUUACUUUCAACUUUGUGAUACACUUUCAAAGAGUCGGAUUGUUUGGGAAUGCAGUCCAAAAUGGGUGGUAAAUUUCAUCUAAAGCUAAAUAUUGGCGAGAGACCGAUAGCGAACAAGUACCGUGAGGGAAAGAUGAAAAGAACUUUGAAAAGAGAGUUAAACAGUACGUGAAAUUGUCAAAAGGGAAGCGUUUGACACCAGUGUUGUUUUUCUGAAAAUCAAUUAAAGAACUGUUUAUGCUAAGCUGUUUAGACUUUAUCAGCUAAUCUGUUUAGUUUUGAGCUUUUCUUUAAUGCACUUUUCAGUUAACAAGUCAACAUCAAUUUCUUUUGCUGUAAAAAAGCUUGAGGAAGGUGGCUUGAGAUUCGUCUUAAGUGUUUAUAGCCUCUUGCCUAUGCAGUCGGAGAGAUUGAGGUCUGCAGCGUAGAUCCUUCGGGGCUAAAUGCAUUUGUGCUAAGUUAUAACAUUUCAUAGACAACUUGUUGACUAUGAUUUGUCUUGUAGCUUACUCGCUUAUGUUAUUUUACCUACGCUUAGGAUGUUGACAGCAGUAUAGACUGU
Molecule: ribosomal RNA, 775 nt
Filed under: uncultured Neocallimastigales
Lineage: Eukaryota; Fungi; Neocallimastigomycota; Neocallimastigomycetes; Neocallimastigales
Description: partial large subunit ribosomal RNA
Rfam family: Eukaryotic large subunit ribosomal RNA
Source: RNAcentral